AGAGAGAGACAUGCGCGCAUAUCAAUAAGCGGAGGAAAAGAAACUAACAAGGAUUCCCCUAGUAACGGCGAGUGAAGCGGGAAGAGCUCAAAUUUGAAAUCUUAAAGGGUUUCCCUUUACGAAUUGUAGUUUAAAGAAGUGUUUUCUGUUGAGGUUUUGGUAAAAGUUCUUUGGAAUAGGACAUCAUAGAGGGUGAGAAUCCCGUAUUUGACCUUUACUUUCAACUUUGUGAUACACUUUCAAAGAGUCGGAUUGUUUGGGAAUGCAGUCCAAAAUGGGUGGUAAAUUUCAUCUAAGCUAAAUAUUGGCGAGAGACCGAUAGCGAACAAGUACCGUGAGGGAAAGAUGAAAAGAACUUUGAAAAGAGAGUUAAACAGUACGUGAAAUUGUCAAAAGGGAAGCGUUUGACACCAGUGUUGUUUUUCUGAAAAUCAAUUAAAGAACUGUUUAUGCUAAGUUGUUUAGACUUUAUCAGCUAACUGUUUAGUUUUGAGCUUUUCUUUAAUGCACUUUUCAGUUAACAAGUCAACAUCAAUUUCUUUUGCUGUAAAAAAGCUUGAGGAAGGUGGCUUGAGAUUCGUCUUAAGUGUUUAUAGCCUCUUGCCUAUGCAGUCGGAGAGAUUGAGGUCUGCAGCGUAGAUCCUUCGGGGCUAAAUGCAUUUGUGCUAAGUUAUAGCAUUUUAUAGACAACUUGUUGACUAUGAUUUGUCUUGUAGCUUACUCGCUUAUGUUAUUUUACCUACGCUUAGGAUGUUGAGCGCAUGUCUCUCUCU
Molecule: ribosomal RNA, 773 nt
Filed under: uncultured Neocallimastigales
Lineage: Eukaryota; Fungi; Neocallimastigomycota; Neocallimastigomycetes; Neocallimastigales
Description: partial large subunit ribosomal RNA
Rfam family: Eukaryotic large subunit ribosomal RNA
Source: RNAcentral